This is a long non-coding RNA of Pogoniulus pusillus (Red-fronted tinkerbird), 614 nucleotides long. RefSeq lists it as uncharacterized. The transcript has 3 exons. Lineage: Eukaryota; Metazoa; Chordata; Aves; Piciformes; Lybiidae. The record is from RefSeq and is a predicted model, not a curated record.
GACUAAGUCUCUUCUGUUUAUUGGCACAGGACAGCUCAUGUUGCAUCAAUCACUGCUUGGCACUGCACAGCCCUCAUCUCUGGCUCUGGAGACGUCUCUGAAAGCUCCUUUGGGCACCUUUACAUCAUCCUUUCAAAUGAUGCAGCCUGGAAAACAGGAGAGAGGUUGUGAUUUAUGCUGGUAUCAAGCUGCAGCUGUGCUCCUGUCUUCCUAUCUAAGUGGUGUCCCUGCUGGAACCAUCACAAGGAAGCAAUUUCCUCUCCCCUGGACAGCAGUGAUUAGAUGGGAUGAUCCUAACUGAUCAUCCCAUUGAUUUUUGCCUGCCAUUGAGAAAAACACUUCCUCUCCCUCCCGAGCCUUAAGCAGCUGUGAGCAUCCUGCUCAUCAACAAGCACUCUAGCAGAUGCAAAGCAUCCCUUGGAAACCGUGGUGAGAGCUGCACACAUGCUUAGGUGCUCCACUGAGCUGAGGCCUCUCUAAACAAGAAGGGACCAUUAGUUUUGGCUCAUUACCUUAACAGGGCUGACUAUUAAAUCCUGCCACUUUCUGUAAAACAAACUUAGUAACGACCCAUCUUUGCAGCUGUGACUAGUAAUAAAGCCAAUUAAUUUCCA